This is a transfer RNA of 74 nucleotides. It matches the Rfam family "tRNA". Rfam says of the family: Transfer RNA (tRNA) molecules are approximately 80 nucleotides in length.
GGGCCCAUGGCAUAGCUGGUUAUCGCAUCUGUCUAACACACAGAAGGUCCUCAGUUAGAACCUGGGUCAACUCA